UGGGGGAUAUUGCACAAUGGGCGAAAGCCUGAUGCAGCGACGCCGCGUGGGGGAUGAAGGCCUUCGGGUUGUAAACUUCUUUUGCUCUGAACAAGGCAUGCUAAUGGGUGUGUUGAGUGUAGGGGUUGAUUAGCGCCGGCUAACUACGUGCCAGCAGCCGCGGUAAUACGUAGGGCGCGAGCGUUGUCCGGAAUUAUUGGGCGUAAAGGGCUUGUAGGUGGCUGGUUGCGUCUGUCGUGAAAGCUCAUGGCUUAACUGUGGGGUUGCGGUGGGUACGGGCUGGCUUGAGUGCAGGAGGGGAGGCUGGAAUUCCUGGUGUAGCGGUGGAAUGCGCAGAUAUCAGGAGGAAUACCGGUGGCGAAGGCGGGUCUCUGGGCUGUUACUGACACUGAGGAGCGAAAGCAUGGGGAGCGAACAGG
This 419-nucleotide ribosomal RNA is filed under the name bacterium. RNAcentral describes it as "partial 16S ribosomal RNA". It matches the Rfam family "Bacterial small subunit ribosomal RNA", at positions 355 to 776 of the family's 1533-position model. The record is from RNAcentral.